CCCGCUGAACUUAAGCAUAUCAAUAAGCGGAGGAAAAGAAACCAACAGGGAUUGCCCUAGUAACGGCGAGUGAAGCGGCAACAGCUCAAAUUUGAAAUCUGGCUCACGCCCGAAUUGUAAUUUGCAGAGGAUGCUUUUGGUGCGGUGCCUUCUGAGUUCCCUGGAACGGGACGCCACAGAGGGUGAGAGCCCCGUAUAGUUGGACGCCAAACCUUUGUAUAGCACCUUCGACGAGUCGAGUAGUUUGGGAAUGCUGCUCAAAAUGGGAGGUAAACUUCUUCUAAAGCUAAAUACCGGCCAGAGACCGAUAGCGAACAAGUAGAGUGAUCGAAAGAUGAAAAGCACUUUGAAAAGAGGGUUAAACAGUACGUGAAAUUGUUAAAGAGGAAGGGCUCAUGACCAGACUUGUGUCUUGCGAAUCAUCUGGGGUUCUCCCCAGUGCACUUUGCCUGACUCAGGCCAGCACCGGUUUCACCAGGGGCAUAAAGACAGCGGGAACGUAGCUCUUCGGAGUGUUAUAGCCUUCUGUACAAUACCCUUGGGGGGACCGAGGUCCGCGCUCUGCAAGGGUGCUGGCGUAAUGGUUAUCAGCCGCCCGUCUUGAAACACGG
RNAcentral lists this ribosomal RNA (611 nucleotides) under uncultured fungus. Its description in RNAcentral is "eukaryotic LSU rRNA". It matches the Rfam family "Eukaryotic large subunit ribosomal RNA", at positions 24 to 664 of the family's 3401-position model. The record is from RNAcentral. Lineage: Eukaryota; Fungi.